Molecule: long non-coding RNA, 255 nt
Organism: Melanotaenia boesemani (Boeseman's rainbowfish)
Lineage: Eukaryota; Metazoa; Chordata; Actinopteri; Atheriniformes; Melanotaeniidae
Exons: 3
Source: RefSeq, a predicted model, not a curated record
UCUCUCCCAGCAGAGGAGAUUGAGCGCGCGGUCAUCGCAGGUGUACGAGCUGCACUUCAAAGUGCACUUCCAACGCAACCACUCACACCAUUAACGGUCUCCGGACUACAGACUAACUCGCAGGUUCUUCCAGCAGUGCCCAGAGGCGCGGUGACCCAGUUUUCAACCGCAGUCACGGCACAAAGAUCAACUCCUCUGCCAUCUAUCCCUCGACGAAAUAGGGCUUCAUCAAGCUACUUUAGACGAAGACACGUA